RNAcentral lists this non-coding RNA (30 nucleotides) under Rattus norvegicus (Norway rat). The record is from RNAcentral. Lineage: Eukaryota; Metazoa; Chordata; Mammalia; Rodentia; Muridae.
UAAACAAUCAGAUAAAAGGAAAACUUUUGC